RNAcentral lists this ribosomal RNA (232 nucleotides) under uncultured bacterium. Its description in RNAcentral is "partial 16S ribosomal RNA". It matches the Rfam family "Bacterial small subunit ribosomal RNA", at positions 99 to 334 of the family's 1533-position model. The record is from RNAcentral.
CGGACGGGUGAGUAAUGUCUGGGAAACUGCCCGAUGGAGGGGGAUAACUACUGGAAACGGUAGCUAAUACCGCAUAACGUCGCAAGACCAAAGAGGGGGACCUUCGGGCCUCUUGCCAUCGGAUGUGCCCAGAUGGGAUUAGCUAGUAGGUGGGGUAAUGGCUCACCUGGGCGACGAUCCCUAGCUGGUCUGAGAGGAUGACCAGCCACACUGGAACUGAGACACGGUCCAG